Poecilia reticulata (guppy) is the source of this 6439-nucleotide RNA transcript. It is a transcript of the gene named ATPase phospholipid transporting 11A, with no coding region annotated. Lineage: Eukaryota; Metazoa; Chordata; Actinopteri; Cyprinodontiformes; Poeciliidae. The record is from RefSeq and is a predicted model, not a curated record.
UUGGCCGCUGCGCGAGACAAGAAGAUUAUUAGUGCACGCGCUCAGGUGGAGGGGAGCACAAGAGAAAACCUGAAGAGGGGGGUAAGCUCACUUUUUCUGGAUGAAGUGCGCUGAAAGUGCCGUAGAAGACGCCCACUGUGCGCUUCCUUCUUGUGGGCUUCGAAGGUGAGAACUGGUCUCCUGUGUCGGGAGCUGCGUUCUUGGGACCAAACCCACUCCACGUUAGGAAGAAGGCUCGGCUGAGAAAAGUCAUGGACAAAAGAAGAAAAAUAAAGAGGAAGCCAGCGGCUGUGGGGAAAUAGAAACACGGAAAAAGAAGAAGGGAGAAGUGUUGGCAGAGGAAAGACGAGCAGGAUGGGGAUGGAUUUCAGUACUCUUCGGACUCUCAUCAGCCGAUAUUGUGCUGGGGAGGAGAACUGUGUGGACACCAGGACGGUUUAUAUCGGACAUAAGGAGCCUCCUCCAGGAGCUGAGGCCUUCAUUCAGCAGAGGUUUCCAGAUAACAGAAUAGUUUCCUCCAAGUACACUUUUUGGAACUUCAUCCCCAAGAACAUGUUUGAGCAGUUCAGGAGAGUGGCCAACUUCUACUUUCUCAUCAUCUUUCUGGUUCAGCUAAUCAUCGACACUCCCACAAGUCCCGUCACCAGCGGGCUGCCGCUCUUCUUUGUCAUCAUUGUGACGGCCAUUAAACAGGGCUAUGAGGACUGGUUGAGACAUAAAGCAGACAAAGCUGUCAACCAGUGUCUGGUCCAGGUGGUGCAGCACGGGAAAGUGAGCCGCAAACACAGUCGCAAGCUUACGGUCGGAGAUGUGGUGUACGUGAAGGAAGACGAGUCCUUUCCGUGCGAUCUCAUUCUUCUCUCCUCAUCCCGAGAUGACGGGACGUGUUACGUUACAACGGCCAGCCUGGACGGGGAAAGCAGCCACAAGACGUAUCAUGCAAUACAAGACACCAAAGCUUACAAAACAGAGGAAGAGGUCAACUACAUCCACGCCACCAUAGACUGUGAACAGCCGCAGCCAGACCUGUACAAAUUUAGGGGCAAUAUCAACAUUUACAUGGGAAAUGAGCCCGUGUCCAGAUCUUUGGCGUCUCAAAAUCUGCUGCUACGCGGAGCUACGCUUAAAAACACUGAAUAUAUCUACGGUGUUGCUAUCUACACUGGCAUGGAAACCAAGAUGGCUCUCAACUACCAGUCCAAAUCUCAGAAGCGAUCGGCGGUGGAAAAGUCAAUGAACGCCUUCCUGGUGGUCUACCUGUGCAUCCUCAUCAGCAAAGCCGUCAUCAACACGGCGCUGAAGUACGUGUGGCAAGCCGACCCCAACAGAGACGAGCCGUGGUACAACGGGAAGACGGAGAGCGAGAGGCAAAGACACGUUCUGAUCAGGGCGUUCACAGACUUCUUGGCCUUUAUGGUGCUGUUCAACUACAUCAUCCCCGUCUCCAUGUACGUCACCGUGGAGAUGCAGAAGUUCCUGGGGUCCUACUUCAUCAUGUGGGACGAUGAGAUGUUUGACGAGGAGCUGGGCGAGCGAGCCGUGGUCAACACGUCAGACCUGAACGAGGAGUUGGGUCAGGUGGAGUACGUCUUCACAGACAAAACAGGGACUCUGACCGAGAACAACAUGGAGUUCAUAGAGUGCUGUGUGGACGGAAACGUUUACGUACCUCAUAUCAUCUGUAAUGGACAGGUGAUGCCUGGUGCUGCUGGCAUCGAUAUGAUCGACACAUCGCCAGGGCCUGAAGCCAGGGAGCGUGAGGAGCUGUUUUUCCGCGCCUUGUGUUUGUGCCACACGGUACAGGUGAAGGAGGAGGAGACGGUGGAUGGGAUCAAACAUGGCAUCCACCAGGGCAAGUCCUCCUCCUUCUACAUCUCCUCUUCGCCAGACGAGGUGGCGCUGGUGGAGGGCAUGAAGAGGCUGGGCUUCACCUAUCUGCGGCUGAAGGACGGUCAGAUGGAGAUCUUAAACAGGGAAGAUGAGAUAGAGAGGUUUGAGCUGCUAGAAGUUUUAACUUUUGACUCCGUGAGACGGAGGAUGAGCGUCAUCGUCAGGUCCAGCACGGGUGAGCUGUACCUCUUCUGCAAAGGAGCCGAUUCCUCCAUCUUCCCCAGAGUUGUUUCAGGAAAGAUGGAGCAGAUCAAAGCGCGGGUGGAGCGAAACGCAGUGGAAGGCCUGAGGACUCUCUGCGUCGCUUAUCGGCGGCUGAGUCCGGAGCAGUAUGAGCAGGUCUGCCACCUCCUGACCAGGGCCAAGUUGGAAUUUCAGGACCAGGACAAGCUGGUGGCCGAGGCAUAUGACCUCAUCGAGAGAGACCUCAUCCUGCUGGGAGCCACCGCUGUAGAGGACAGGCUGCAGGAGAAAGCUGCAGAUACCAUCGAGUCUCUCCACAAGGCGGGCAUGAAAGUGUGGGUGCUGACCGGAGACAAGAUGGAGACUGCGGCUGCUACCUGCUACGCUAGCAAGCUGUUUCGCCGCAGCACCCAGAUUCUGGAGCUCACCACCAAGCGGACGGAGGAGCAGAGCCUGCACGACGUCCUGUUUGAGCUGAGCAGAACGGUGCUCCGGCAUUACGGAAGCAUGCCGCGCGACGCCUCCUCUGGUUUAUCCAGCGAGUACAUCGACUAUGGCCUGAUAAUCGACGGCGCCACCCUCUCCGCUGUGAUGAGGCCCAGCCAGGAAGACUCCAACUCAGGGAAUUACAAAGAGAUAUUCCUGGAAAUCUGCCGCAACUGCAGCGCAGUGCUCUGCUGUCGAAUGGCUCCUCUUCAGAAAGCACAGAUAGUCAAGAUGAUCAAAUCCUCCAAAGAGCACCCGAUCACCCUCGCCAUUGGAGAUGGGGCAAAUGAUGUUAGCAUGAUCCUGGAGGCCCACGUUGGCAUCGGCAUUAUGGGUAAAGAGGGUCGCCAAGCAGUAAGAAACAGUGACUACGCUAUCCCAAAGUUUAAACACCUCAAAAAGAUGCUGCUUGUUCAUGGACACUACUACUACAUACGCAUCUCUGAACUCGUGCAAUACUUCUUCUACAAGAAUGUUUGUUUCAUCUUUCCCCAGUUCCUCUACCAGUUCUUCUGUGGCUUCUCCCAGCAGCCACUAUAUGACACGGCUUACUUGACUCUCUACAACAUCAGCUUCACGUCGCUGCCCAUCCUCCUCUACAGCCUCAUGGAGCAGCACAUCAACAUGGACAUCCUGAAGAAGGAGCCAACGCUUUACAGAGAUAUAGCCAAGAACUCAUUACUAACGUGGCCCAUCUUCAUAUACUGGACUGUCCUGGGCGUGUAUGAUGCCAUUGUGAUGUUCUUUGGUGCUUACUUCCUGUUUGACAAUACCACCUUCACCAGCAACGGACAGCUAAUGACAACCAACACACAGAUGAUGUUUGGAAACUGGACGUUUGGGACUCUGGUCUUUACUGUGCUCGUUUUCACCGUUACAUUCAAGUUGGCUCUCGAUACUCAUUACUGGACGUGGAUCAACCAUUUUGUCAUCUGGGGCUCGCUUGUCUUCUUUGUAGUCUUCUCUCUGCUGUGGGGAGGAAUUAUUUGGCCUUUCCUGAACUACCAGCGGAUGUACUACGUGUUCAUGCAGAUGCUGUCCAGCGGUCCGGCCUGGCUCAGCAUCAUCCUGCUGAUUACAGCCAGUCUGCUGCCGGACGUGGUGAAGAAGGUGUUCUGGAGGGCGCUGUGGCCCACCACCACUGAACGCAUACAGAGCGCCGAUAAGCUCUACAAGGGCCAGCUGUCAGAGUUCACGCCCCUGGAGGCUCUCCACCCUCCGCCCAGGGCCGGCGACCACCAGCGAAGCUCUGGAACCCAAAGGAACCCUCGAAGGUCUGACACCCCAAACAAGAAAGUCAUGUUCACACGCUGGCAAAGAGCGCCAGACUACCGCACCUUCACCCCCCUGCUCCGAUUUACUGACGGCUCCCGACACUCGAGGCCGGGGAACGCCUACAGAGGGGCGGGGCCGGAGACCUCAGUCUAAUUUAUUUUGUUUUUGUGAGGUGUUUUUUUUUUUUUUUUUUUUUAUAAAUACUUUUUCAAAUAAAAAGGAGCUGAACUGAGCAAAAAAAGGGUUUGUCUUUAACCUCCCAGAGCCUCUGAGCUGGGGUCGGACAUGUUGCCACGUUGGGACUCAGUGGAUUUAAGUCUCAACCCUCAAAACAGAGACUCGAGAACUGUGAUUUCACUCUAAAAUAUGUGCACUGGCCCUUUAACAGUAUCUGCCUUCAGUGACAGCUAAAGUGUACUUCAUCUGUUCAUCUUCAUCUUUUAACUGUUUUUACGUAUUGACUGGGAUUAUUAUCAUUAUUAUUAUUAUAAUGACUCAUUUCACUCUGUUUUCAGCUGCUUCAUCUCUUCCCCUCUCCUCUCUGCCCCGACCUGCCUCUCUCUAGGAAUAACUGCUGUUGGCUGUGUGCAAACAUGUUGUCCAGAAACUCUCCGUAGGGCUCUGCGCGCAGAUCCUACUGCACUGUUUCCCACCUCUGCCACAACCACAUCCAUCUGUCUGAUCAUCAUCAUCACCACCAUCCACUGUUCCCUCCUGCUCCUCCUUUGCCACAUUCCUCCAUUGAAUCAUCUCUCCAUCCAUCAUGACACAGAGCAGAGAUGCUGUUUUGAUGACUUGAUUAGGACCUCGAUGAACCAAAGCCUUUUUGCUGCUACAGUAGAGAUACUUUUAGCUGCUUUACAUUAGGUGCCUUGUGCUAGUUUAUGAAAUAAAUGAUUGUUUAAAUGCUUUACGGUGCAUUAAUACGUGUUGGUGGAGCAUUUGGAUGGUACAACGACUCUGCAAAGCAUGGCUGCAUAGAUGCAAACUUGGGGAAAUAAGUUUAAUAGCGAGUUUAAGUUGGUGACGAAAUUAGCUAUGACUUCCACCAAAACAACACGACUGCUUGGUAUCUGUUUCUGUGUUAUUUAUAUGCCUGUCUCCGAGAUGGUUGUAUUUAAGUUCUGUAAAGGAAAUUUUUGUAAAACACAGAUUAUCCCUGCUGUCUUUGUUUCCUGCUUUAACUCUUAGAAUUAUGGCAAAUGCUGGAUUUUAACAGCUAGAAUUCAGUUUUUGCUUUCAAACACUUCAAAUCCAAAAUGAAAUCAAUGAACAUCCAAAUCUAUAAAUGCAUAAAAUCAGCACUACCAGCUAAAGACUUAACAUUUUGACACAAAUCUUUAUUGUUCUUCUAUAAUUCCUGACGUCUUUAUCUUUUUCGUAUUUCAGAUAUAUGCAAUGAACAUUAACUAACUCAUAGAUUGGCAUGUAAAAUGUGUGAAAAGCUGCAUAGUAAAUCCCAUCUUUUAUUGCAGUAGCAUACUCUCAUAUUGGAAAUUUAAGCAUUCCCACAAAAUUCCCAGUGCCUUUGGGGGAAAAAACAAACAAAGUGGUCCAUAUCAUAAUGCUUCCUCCACCUUUUUGGAGUGUCGUCUGACCGAAGCACAUGAUUCCAGUUAAAUUCCCAGUGGAGUUUAACAAAUUCCACAUUUGAUUAUGAUGGUAGAAAAGAAAAAAUAUUGUUUAUGUAUUGCUUUGACCAUAGAUAUACCAAAGGUUAGGGGAAGUAGCCGUUUCCUGAUGUUCUUGUCUUUCCUAUUUUGAAGAGUGACCAAUAGAAACGGGCCUCUAUGUUGGGUCGUAUUUAUUUCCCAGGGAAACGGGAAGCCAUCAAAGUCAGAAAAUGUGCUUUGUUAGUUGAAAUUACCAGUGAUAGUUUUAAACAUUUCUUUUUUGUUGGAUUUUUUUUUUUUUUAGCACAUUUCUACCACGAGAGCUAAUAAUUGUGGAGGACAUUACAAAGAAAACGAGUUUUAAAAAAAAUGCCUCUCCUCUUAAUGUCCUGUCAGAGCUAAAAGUAAAAGUUAACCUUAAGAGUUGGGAUGAAGUUACCGGAGCUGGAUUGAGAAAUUUUAAAAUAUUUGAUGUUCUCUUAAAUUUCCACCCAAAUCAGACAAAAAUAUUGGAACUUAAAAACAGCAAACCUGAAAACUGCAAUACUACCCGGCGCCCAUUAGCAACAGAUGAGGAAUGACACUUUGCUGUAGAAGCACUUAAAGCCAUGAGUCACGGGUUGUAUCCGUCUCCAUUGUCGUGUUCGCGUGAGACUUUCUAAACCUGCGACAUUCAGACAGAAUGCUACCGUUUCUGUUUUGCAAUGCAUCAUUGUAAAGAAAUCUGUACGUCUCACUAACUAAUGGUAUCGCCUAAUUGCUGUACGCUCAGAUACAGUAAAGACAAAAAAAUAUAAACAGUAUAUACGUGUAGUUUAUGCUAACUGUUGUACAGUUUUGGGGUGUUUUUGUAUACAGUUUUUAAGAGUAUUAUCAAGAUUUUAUUGUGGAUUUUUUAUUUUUUUUGCCAAUUUUUCUUUAGCUUUCAAUGGCACACGAUUGUACAUUUGCUCCAAAAUAAAAGCCACAAGUGGAUGUAUGGGGGAAAACAA